GUGCUCGCUUCGGCAGCACAUACACAGAAUUGGAAUGAUACGGAGAAGACGAGCAUGGCCCCUGCGCAAGGAUGACACGCAAAUUCGUGAAGUGAUCCAUAGUUUU
Small nuclear RNA from Ochotona princeps (American pika), 106 nucleotides. Lineage: Eukaryota; Metazoa; Chordata; Mammalia; Lagomorpha; Ochotonidae. The record is from Ensembl.